UAUACAAUUACGUAUAUGUGCCAUAGUCAAUAACCAUAAAAUCUUUACAAGUUUUAAUAUAAUCUAACGGUUUUGAUUUGCCGUUUCCCAUAACCAUACUUGAUAGUUUAGAGGUGAACACCCGAUUCCAGGAUUUGUUCGUAAAACCCUAACAACAAGACUCGAUUAGACAACUUUCAAAUGGGCUAGGUUUAUACAUAAGCAUUUCUUCAACUGUCAAACAAAAUGUUUCAAAUUUUUUUUUUCCAGAUUCUCAUGUGAUUCCAUUCCAGAUGUUUACAAAUUCCAGUUUAGAAUCAAAACAGACCCGUCAAACCAUAUCGGUCAGCAACAUUGUACAUUACGAGUUCAUCCCAGGUAUGGCCAAAAAGGCGUUCGCCUCCGAUGGUGAAAGUGAGGGACCAGGAAGCUAACAUGGCAGAAAAUACCGUCAAUCCUAUUGCUGAUCCUACAACAUCUAUAAACAAAAAAAAAAGAGAGAUCAACACCACCCGCUUACCCGAAUAAGGGAUCCCUUUAUUCACUUACCCACAUCAAAACCGAAUGUUUGAAAGUUAGAAACUUUAAACUAAUAAAGAAUGUGAAAUCAUUACAAUUGUACUCAAGUAUUUGAAAGUCGGUUUAUAGUGUGAUUUGAGAUUGGUUUCACAUAAUUAAAUCCAAACAAGUAAUUUUAACCACCUAAGAUCAUAAACAAGGGUCCUUGAUGCCUGUAGGGUUCACAACCCUGCAAACCUGACAGGUAAUGCAUAAUUGGCAAGGUUUAAAAAACGGAAACGAGUUUCGAGGCGUUUUCCCUUCGCCUCAUGAGGCGUAAGCCUCGAGGCAAACCGAGACGGAAUUGAAAAAUAAAUAUAAAAGUUAUGGGUAAAACAUAUAACUUUCCUAAUGUAAAUAAACUUGUGAGAAUUGUUUUAGGUUAAAUAUGAUAAAAGUUUAAUGUUUAAGGGUCCUAAUGUAAGUUUUUGUAAACGGAAUGAAUAAAAGAGCCGUCCUUUUUUCAGUAACCCUAAAAGAGUUACGCCUCAAUCAUCUUCUCCAUUCCUGAAACCCUAAUUUUUCUUGGUCACUCAUCGCUACAAGCCAGGUACGUCUCCAUCUUUAAUCUACCUUUGUAUUUCGUAAAGCCUCUUUCAGAAUCGACCCUGUUUUCUUCAGUAACCCUAUAAAACCCUAAUUUCUCUCGCCUAAAAAGACAUGUACGCCUCUUAAUUUCCGUGCCGCCUCGACAAGAAACGUCCGCCUCAUACCUUUGAAGCGUACGUAUAAAAACAAGCAGUGAGGCGCGCCUCAAAACGGACGCCUCGAGCGUUUUUUUAAGCCAUGGUAAUUGGAUACCCGAUAGAUUGGGAAUGGUUUUAGAAUCGGGUAUGGGAAUAGGAUUACCAAAGCAUGUCCCAUACCCAUUGGGUAUCAUCCAUCAAAUAUUCCAAUUACUCAUAAUUAACAAACUAAUUUCCAAGUAAACAUAGAGUGUAACUUUAGUUGUUCUCAUCAUCAAUGCAUCAUCUAUCAGCUUGUAAAUAAACCUUAAAACACCAAAACACUAGUGUAAAAAUUUUAGAUCUGAUUUUAAAAGUUGCAUAUUGCAUAUGCAGCUAACCCACUGUUCCUUUAACUUCUUCUCACAUGAAUUGCAUAAUAAUAAUAUUAGGUUAUAGAACGAAGUCUGUUUUGUAUUGACAACCCCAAGUGUAAGCUGUAAAAAAGGGCAUGUCUUCACUCGUCACCUUGGUUUUAUAAAGUGCGAGGCGUUUAGGUCCCAAAAGCCAAGGCUAGAGCUUCAGGUACACUCAAUGUUCAAUCAAAUAUACAAACAACCACAAGCUGCAUUUCUCAUUAUCAAGUAAACCAUUCAUAAAUUCUUCAUCCCUGAUCCUUUUGGUCAUUCUUACUUAUCAGCCUACCACAUUUCCCUAAAUUAUGUGCACCUCAAGGCCAUGAAGCGUUUUCUAAUUCACCCCGUGCCUUAGGCGGCACACUUUUUAAAACCAAGCUUGUCACCGACUUUUGACUAUUCUAUUCUAGUCUGGUACAGGUCACAAAAUGAAAGACAUCUCAUUCGAUAUUACUUUUCUUCUUUAAAUUGAGCUUUUCGUUUUUACAUAUAACGUGUUGGUAUUUAUUUUCUCAGUUUGAAGAGUGAUUCCCUAAUUCUUUUCUCAUAUUUUGCCCUAAAUUGUCUGACAUCGUAACUAAUUCAUUUUCCAUUUUGAUGUCAACUCUAGUUACCUUUCUCAAAUAUAUAACAUCAAGUCGUAUAGAUCUAACCAAAUUCCAAACAAUAUGAUAACUAUCUAUCGAGUAUAUGUAUACAAUAAAAAUGAAAUGAAAUGAACUUACAAGGGCGGAUUCGGGGGAAGGAGGUGGAGUGACGAAGAACAGGCCAGAAGUAGUAGCAGUUUACGGCCCACAGCAAAGGCAAUAAGAGGAAGCCGAAGCCAAAGAACUUACGGGCGUAACCGACGGAGUCUUCCUCCGAAAGCCCCAGUGGUCCGUCGAUUGUUGGCCACUCCGGUCGCAGUGAUGAGGAGGAGGAGGUCAUGUUAGGGUUAGGGUUAGGGUUUAUGAGGACGGUGCCUUCCGAAGGAGUUACUUCCUCCGAUGAUGAUCUCUCCAUUCUCUCUCUCC
RNAcentral lists this long non-coding RNA (2631 nucleotides) under Helianthus annuus (common sunflower). Its description in RNAcentral is "hypothetical non coding rna". Lineage: Eukaryota; Viridiplantae; Streptophyta; Magnoliopsida; Asterales; Asteraceae. The record is from RNAcentral.